AUUGAACGCUGGCGGCAUGCCUUACACAUGCAAGUCGAACGGCAGCACGGACUUCGGUCUGGUGGCGAGUGGCGAACGGGUGAGUAAUGCAUCGGAACGUACCCGGUAGUGGGGGAUAACUACCCGAAAGGGUGGCUAAUACCGCAUAUACUGUGCGCAGGAAAGCAGGGGACCUUCGGGCCUUGUGCUACCGGAGCGGCCGAUGUCAGAUUAGGUAGUUGGUGGGGUAACGGCCUACCAAGCCUGCGAUCUGUAGCGGGUCUGAGAGGAUGAUCCGCCACACUGGGACUGAGACACGGCCCAUACUCCUACNGGAGGCAGCAGUGGGGAAUUUUGGACAAUGGGCGCAAGCCUGAUCCAGCCAUGCCGCGUGAGUGAAGAAGCCUUCGGGUUGUAAAGCUCUUUCGGACGGAAAGAAAUCGCGCAGGCUAAUACCCUGUGCGGAUGACGGUACCGUCAUAAGAAGCACCNGCUAACUACGUGCCAGCAGCGCGGUAAUACCUAAGGUGCGAGCGUUUAUCGGAAUUACUGGGCGUAAAGCGUGCGCAGCGGGUGAUUAA
This 560-nucleotide ribosomal RNA is filed under the name uncultured bacterium. Its description in RNAcentral is "bacterial SSU rRNA". It matches the Rfam family "Bacterial small subunit ribosomal RNA", at positions 28 to 585 of the family's 1533-position model. The record is from RNAcentral.